This is a long non-coding RNA of Monopterus albus (swamp eel), 1858 nucleotides long. RefSeq lists it as uncharacterized. The transcript is spliced from 4 exons. NCBI's taxonomy places the organism in Eukaryota, Metazoa, Chordata, Actinopteri, Synbranchiformes, Synbranchidae. The record is from RefSeq and is a predicted model, not a curated record.
UUCUUAGCCCGAACCCGACCCGACCGUCGGGUACCCAUCGGGCUUAAUUUCUAUCAUUUUUACUCAGGCCGGGCUCGGGCGUUAGAUGAGUGGUCACGUGAUGCGUUUCAAUUAGCGCGAGAAAGCUGCAUUGCGAAGAACGAAGAUGGAUGAGGUGAAACAAAGGGGGACUAUCUAUCACCAUCUUCACCACCAUUAUCACCAGUGUCUUCAUGACAUCAUGAGUGUCCUGCACCAACACUGUGCAGCUGCAUAAGACAAUAAAAUUAUGAGCAGUGACCAAAGAGGCUGUGGCAGUCCAAACUCCACCAGGAAGUCCAUGAGGUGGAGUCAGACCUGAUUAAUAGCACAGAUGGUAAUCUUACAGACAGACAGGAGCAUACUCAUUUUCACCCCAGUGUACCCCUCACAGCUUGUACAAUGGAGCUCUUCAGAGUUUAGAGUGAGAGCACCAGCCUCUGGACUCAACCCUCUGGCACAGAAGCAAGACACUUAGUGGUUUUAUUUCUCUUGGUAGGUGUUUUGUGUUUCUUUGCAGUCAAUUUGUAUCUCUACUGUCAUUUUCAUCACUUUGUAGUUUUGUGUUUUUGUUGUAACUUGCCAUCUUUUUUUUUUUGCAUUUUGCAUUACUUUGUGGUCGCUCUUUGUCAGUUUGUUCCCCUUUUUAGUUGUUUGCCGUCUUGUAAAACUUGUUUCCAAUCUUCUGCACCUCUUCAAGGUUGCUUUGCAAGUCUUUGCUGUCAUUGUCUUUGUAGUAUUAGAUUGAGCUUCCAACAAGAAAUGUUAAUGGUCACUUCAGUGUAUGGGGCCCUUGGCCUGGACCAAAGUCUGUUCAGUAAGUUCCCCUGCCCCUGAUCACUGACAUGCAAUUUAAGUUGAACUAUUGUUAUUCUUUCUCUUUUAUUGGAAAUCAUACUUGAACAUGGCAUUUUACAGUUUUGAUGCUGCACAUAUCACUGUACAAAGUUCAUGUAAGAGUGAUGAUGAUGCGGGAGGAGACAAAUGUGAACCUGAGCUGCAUCAGUCUCUGAUCAAUAAUGAGCUUAUGACAGUGAUGGACUGCAGGAAUUGCGGAGAAAUUGGAGAGACAAAUUGUCCAGAGCUCAGACUACACAGUUCCACCUUGUUUCAAGGUCACUGCCUUGUAGUUCCUGUGAAAUCAAACAUGCCUUAACUGGAUAAACCUCAAAGUUCAUUUUAUGGUAAUAAAAGAAUAUACACUUAGGACUAAUCAUUUGUACAUGAAUAGUUCAUUGCGUUUUGCUAGAUGUGCAAGACCUGCUGUGUCCUUUUCAUUUGUGCAUUUUUUUUUUUUAAAUACAGCGACUCUUAUUCAAAUGACAGCCAUACUGGUUUGUCAACUGUGUAUAAGGCUGCAAAGCAGAAGGGAACUAUUAGGGUUGAGCAGUAUUGUUAUCAACAUUACUUAUGAGAGAAUAUUCUACUCUUUUGGGAAAAACUACGAUACUGUAUAUUGCACACAUUGUUUUUUUUGCAUUUGAGUGAUUCAGGCCAGUGGUUUCCAUCCAGGUGUGGUUUCCCACCCCAGAUGCCAAAUGACUAAGAUGAGUGUCUCAGUGUCAUACCAGUUUUUGUUAGGUUUCUUUUCUUUUCAAGCUAUGUACUUUUAAACCUUUUCAAGUAUAGAGAUUAGCACUGUUUGAUUGAUGGCACUCGUGUUCAUGCCUGUCUGUAUUCAGUGGUUUGUUUUGUGAGAUCUCUAGAGCAUCAAAUCGUAAUUGCCAAAUUAGCACUCGUAAAAUCAUGAAAUCCUUGAAUCAGUGUGCUCUCCUGUGUUCCUUGUCAGUCUGUCUUACCUCUCUGCCAUUAAAACAAUUAUAAUUCAACAAAUAAAGAC